This is a non-coding RNA of Oryctolagus cuniculus (rabbit), 415 nucleotides long. Lineage: Eukaryota; Metazoa; Chordata; Mammalia; Lagomorpha; Leporidae. The record is from RefSeq and is a predicted model, not a curated record.
CUCUGCGGUCACUGUCACCAGUGCAGCCAGACUCUGCUGCACAGAGUCUGUGGACUCGGCCAAGUGUGAUUUGUGAGGACAGAUCCGUGCAGGAACCAUCACCGGUGCCAAACUGAAGAUACAGCCAACGCAGGAGGGACCUGAGGUGCACCAGGAAGUCAGCUGGGAGAUCAUGAGUCAUGUUUACACGUUCCCCAGAUGUCCUGGGUGCUGGCAUUACGCAGGUCUGUGAAGUUCCGCGGGUGAGAGUAACAGCACAGAGGACAUUCCCGUUCCCCUCAGCACCUGUGAGUUUACCUUCAGCUUCAGAUGAACACAGUAUCUUAUACACAACAGGCUCCUCCCUCCAGUGGCUGGAUCUCUGAAAAAAGACUAAAAUCCAUUCAAAUGCAAUAAUAAAAAAAAUGUAGUGUCA